AGUGGCGGAGCCAGAAAUUUUAUGAAGCCUGGGCAAGUUAAGACUAAGUGCAUAAUAAUCACACAAAAUUUGAUUUUGAAGUGAGCUAAUAUAUCAAUAUCCAAAUAAAAUUGAGACAUAACAACAAAAGAUACAUAUUCAGCUUGGCAAGAAUAGAGAUGGUCAGAAUAUUUGAAGGAUACUCACAAAUUUGUUUUCUCUUUCCUGGAUCGCGCUCAAUAUCAUUUGGAUUAAAUUCAAUGGCAAUGUUAGGAGCUGGUGGUGCCUCCACUUCUAUUUCCGGUUGCACGCCAUUCCCAUUUUAGUGCUUGCUCUAUUAACUAAGAACCUCCUCAGUUCUGAAAUUUAAUGAUAAAGUUUGAAAUUAGUUGUUAAGCAAGUAAAUAAGAAAUGAUUACAACAAGUGCAAAUUCAUAGUACGUAACUACUUGCAUCAAAGAAAUAAUGCAUUCUAAGUAAGCAACUAAAAGUACUAAUCAGAUUCACAACUAAGUACUUCUAGACUUAAUACAGAUUGUACUAAUACAGAUUGAAUACAUGUACGUGAGAACUAGAAAUACUAAUACAGAUUGAAUACAUGCACGUGAGAUGAGAUGGUGAGAAAAUCAUACGAGGACCAAUUAAUUCUGAUGGAGAUUAGUUAGCUGGGACAAGAGCUCUCCUUCCAAUUAAUUCUGCAAGAACAAAUUUUGACGAAGAUUAGUUACUUAGUUCCCUAGCCGGCUAACCCUAAUUCUGAUGGAGAUUAGUUACUUAGUUUCUUAGCAAACCGAAGCAAAACAAUCGAAGACGUGAGAACUGAGAAGGGAUGAAUGAACGAGUACACUGCCCAGGCCGCCGGGCGCCUCACCCUCACGUCCGCUCGCCGUCGUCGCCCACCGGCCGGGCCCUGCGUCGACUCGCCGCCAGCCGCCUGUGAGCAAACGAAACGACGGAGGAGUUCACGAUCGAUCCGAGUGAGCCAACGAUGGAUUCCCAGGCGUGUGUAUUCUGUAUAUCGGGCUAUCGGCCUCGUUGCUGAUUGGGCUACUGCCUGCUGCAUUGGGGUGGGCUGUUGUGGCCCAUUUUUUUUUGCCCGGGUAAGCAAAGCCAUACAACGGUAAUUGGCUCUUAUAAUACCGAUCCAUCACAACUGUCGUGGACGAGGGAGCCCGGGCAACUGCCCAGGGUGGCUGGGCGGUGCCUCCGCCACUGGCUGCAGUCAGUCCACAUAUAACCCCCCCCCCUCCUCCUUUGAUACUGUUGCAUACUUAGCCUAGUUCUAAUAUAAGUCUUGCGAGUACUUUGGAUGAGUACUCGCCGUUGCUUUGCUCCCCCUUUACCCCCUUGAUCCGUUACUGCGACCAGAUGAUGGAGCCCAGGAGAUGGCGUAUCCUGCCGACGACGACUGCUACCCCGAUGAUGCCUACUACUACGUGGAGGCCGCUGAAGUCCAGGAAUAGUUAGGAGGUUCCGAGGCAGGACGUCUCGCGUCGUUCGAUCGUGUAUCUUUUGUGCUAGCCUUCUCUAAGGCACCCCAUGUUUAAUGUCUGUACUCAGAGAUUGUUGCUUCCGCUAACUCGUGUGUUUAUCGAGCUUCCGUAUUCUACCCCUCAAGGUCCCUCGUUUGUAAUAUGAAGCUUGUAUGUUUUAUUUAUGUCUAGAGUUGUGUUGUGAUAUCUUCCCGUGAGUCCUUAAGUUUGACCGUACGCAUUUGCGUGUAUGUUUAGCGCACGAUUAAAUCUAGGACGUCACAGCCCUGUCUUCACGAAAUGAUGAGCAUGCCAUUUGAAUGGGGAUCCAUUGAGCCACACACAAACUUCAUGAUAUGGACUUCAUGAUAUGUAGAUGCAGGUGGAACCACCGGGUUGUAGCAACUCCUAGGCCUGGUGGAGGAACCGGUUGCUCUCGAAGAUAUUUAGAUGCAGGUCACAACGUGAAGGUGAGGUGGUGGCAUGAUGUAUGGCCACAGUGCCACACACAAACUUCAUGAUAUGUAGAUGUAGGUGACACAACGCUUGAUGUAUGGCCGCCUUUUUAUUUUAUGUGUUUUUAGCAAAUACUUCCACAUUACCAUUUAUUGAAAUACACAAAAGGAAAUUUGAAGUCUUAAUAUUUUUUCAUACAUGUAAACAUAUUUUUUCUAAAAUAUAAAAAUAUUUGUUCCGAAAUACAUGUUUUUUUUGCAAGUAAGUUAACACUCUAUUUGUAGUCAAACAACUAGUUUAGAAUACAUGUUUAUUCUUUCAAUACCUAGAUAGUUUUUAUCAUUUACAACAUUUUUAGAACAUAUAUAAAACAAAAACACAUGUUUCUCAUUUUUAUAAAAAAAAUGUGAAAUGUGUCACGCUAGUGGCUGGCUAUAAAUGUACCUUGUUGUAUUGGGAACAUAUACAAUUUAAAAACUAUUAGUGUAGUUCUAAACGAAAUAAAGUACAAAAGAAACAUCGGUUAUCGUGUAUGUUGAAAUUAUUCAAUUGGUUAUCUUUUCCCUAAAAUGUUUGUAUAAAUGAUAAAAUUGUUCAAACAUUAAAAAUUACUUGAUGAUAACCCAACGUUAUUGCGGGAAUUGUUUGCUCUAUAUUUUGAUGAAGUUGGAACAUGAGUAUUCGAUUAUUGUAUAGUUGUAGGAUAUUUAUCAAAAAUUGUAGGAUAAUUGUUUUCACAUGCAUGGUUGCAUGUUGUGGUGGAUCUCUUCUCAUGCAUGUUAGCAUGUACAGGUAGCUAUUUUCUCAUGCAUAGUUACAUGAUGAGGUAAACCUCAAAAAAAGUUACAUGAUAAGGUGGGAUAGUUGCAUGGAGAUAAAUACAAGUAGUGGAGAUCACUCUCUACACGUUGUUGUGAGGAUCUAUUGUAAUAUAUUUUAAUUAGAUUUGCUUUCUAUGAAACAUGAACAUUUGGGUAAUAAUAUGAAACUAAAACUAAAAAUCCAUAGAUUUAUUGUACUUGAUUAUUGUAUAGUUAUAAAAUGUUUAUUAAAUAUAGAGUGGAAAUUAUCAUGCACGUUUCCAUGCUACUGUGGGCCUUUCCCAUUAAUGUUGCAUGAUGUGGCACGCUUGUAUUGAGAGAAAUAUAUAAGUGAGGCUAGAUAUUUAGAUAUAUGAUUUUUCUUUUUGACAAAAGAUGCAAAUCUUAUAAAACAAAAAUGAUAGGAAAACGGAAAAUAGAGCAAGAAU
This 3156-nucleotide long non-coding RNA is filed under the name Hordeum vulgare. RNAcentral describes it as "long non-coding RNA (HVUL_LNC013165)". Lineage: Eukaryota; Viridiplantae; Streptophyta; Magnoliopsida; Poales; Poaceae. The record is from RNAcentral.